UACAAUGCGUGAGGACAUCACAAAUGCACUCUGGGCAAAUUAUAAUCAUUGAUGGUGUACUCAAUUUUAUUUACAAUGUUUUGGUAAAGUUUAGCAACAA
This is a long non-coding RNA of Ipomoea nil (Japanese morning glory), 100 nucleotides long. RefSeq lists it as uncharacterized. The record is from RefSeq and is a predicted model, not a curated record. NCBI's taxonomy places the organism in Eukaryota, Viridiplantae, Streptophyta, Magnoliopsida, Solanales, Convolvulaceae. The transcript has 3 exons.